GUCCAGAACACAAUGAUGUUUUAUUUCCAAGCACAUAUCUGAACCUUGUGUGUUGAAAACAAUAGCACUGAGUGCUCUGGAU
Small nucleolar RNA from Rana temporaria (common frog), 82 nucleotides. RefSeq annotates it as small nucleolar RNA SNORD121A. Lineage: Eukaryota; Metazoa; Chordata; Amphibia; Anura; Ranidae. The transcript has a single exon. The record is from RefSeq and is a predicted model, not a curated record.